AACGAACGCUGGCGGCAUGCCUAACACAUGCAAGUCGAACGAGACCUUCGGGUCUAGUGGCGCACGGGUGCGUAACGCGUGGGAACCUGCCCUUAGGUUCGGAAUAACUCCCCGAAAGGGGUGCUAAUACCGGAUAAUGUCUUCGGACCAAAGAUUUAUCGCCUUUGGAUGGGCCCGCGUUGGAUUAGCUAGUUGGUAGGGUAAAAGCCUACCAAGGCGACGAUCCAUAGCUGGUCUGAGAGGAUGAUCAGCCACACUGGGACUGAGACACGGCCCAGACUCCUACGGGAGGCGGCAGUGGGGAAUAUUGGACAAGGGGGGAAAGCCUGACCCAGCAAGGCCGCGUGAGGGAUGAAGGCCGUGGGGUUUAAAAGCUUUUUACCCGGGAUGAUAAUGACAGUCCCGGGAGAAUAAGCUCCGGCUAACUCCGG
This 431-nucleotide ribosomal RNA is filed under the name uncultured bacterium. Its description in RNAcentral is "partial 16S ribosomal RNA". It matches the Rfam family "Bacterial small subunit ribosomal RNA", at positions 29 to 506 of the family's 1533-position model. The record is from RNAcentral.